GACGGAGGAUGCAAGUGUUAUCCGGAAUCACUGGGCGUAAAGCGUCUGUAGGUGGUUCGAAAAGUCCACUGUUAAAAAUUGAGGCUUAACUUCAAAGAUGCCGUGGAAACUUUCAAACUAGAGUAUGGUAGGGGUAGAGGGAAUUUCCAGUGGAGCGGUGAAAUGCGUAGAUAUGCGGAGGAACACCGAUGGCGAAGGCAAUCCCCUGGACCUGUACUGACGCUCAUGCACGAAAGCGUGGGGAGCAAACAGG
RNAcentral lists this ribosomal RNA (253 nucleotides) under uncultured bacterium. RNAcentral describes it as "partial 16S ribosomal RNA". It matches the Rfam family "Bacterial small subunit ribosomal RNA", at positions 524 to 776 of the family's 1533-position model. The record is from RNAcentral.